GGGGCUUUAGCUCAGUGGCAGAGCGGAAGACUGCAAAUCUUUAGGUCGCGAGUUCAAUCCUCGCAGGUCCCU
This is a transfer RNA of Ichthyophthirius multifiliis, 72 nucleotides long. It matches the Rfam family "tRNA". Rfam says of the family: Transfer RNA (tRNA) molecules are approximately 80 nucleotides in length. Their secondary structure includes four short double-helical elements and three loops (D, anti-codon, and T loops). Lineage: Eukaryota; Ciliophora; Oligohymenophorea; Hymenostomatida. The record is from Rfam.